AACUUGAGAGUUUGAUCCUGGCUCAGAACGAACGCUGGCGGCAGGCUUAACACAUGCAAGUCGAGCGCCCCGCAAGGGGAGCGGCAGACGGGUGAGUAA
RNAcentral lists this ribosomal RNA (99 nucleotides) under Mesorhizobium sp. SCN 65-12. Its description in RNAcentral is "partial 16S ribosomal RNA". It matches the Rfam family "Bacterial small subunit ribosomal RNA", at positions 1 to 113 of the family's 1533-position model. The record is from RNAcentral. Lineage: Bacteria; Pseudomonadati; Pseudomonadota; Alphaproteobacteria; Hyphomicrobiales; Phyllobacteriaceae.